RNAcentral lists this long non-coding RNA (1534 nucleotides) under Anas platyrhynchos platyrhynchos (common mallard). Its description in RNAcentral is "lncRNA (ENSAPLG00000029522.1)". Lineage: Eukaryota; Metazoa; Chordata; Aves; Anseriformes; Anatidae. The record is from RNAcentral.
UAAAUGACAAACACUGAUAAUAACAAGAGUCAAUCCUAAUAACAGUUGUGCGCUUUUGCAAAUUGCAGUUAUCUGCAUGGCAGCCCACAAUCAGCAGUAAUGCCAGGAACAUGUGAAAUCCCAAGUACAUGCAUUACUUAAGAGGCCCAUUAAACACAAUUCUCAUUCUUGGUUUCACAGGUUAGUGAGUAGCUGCUGUGCCCAAGUGCUAUUUCAUGGCCAGAUAACACCGAGGGAGAAGCAGAAGUUCCUCCUGUGAUGGGUGACCUGGGAUAACUGGGAGGAUGUUUAAACCUUUGAAACACAAAAAUUCUAAAGAAAGAUUUAGGAUCUGAACAGAGCUAAAAUAUUUAGGCUUUCAGUGAAAAGCAGUAUUAAAAUUUACCAAGUACUCUUAUGGCAGGUCUGUCAGAUGAGUGGGCAACAAGAAUAUUUCUAAUCUUCCAGAUGCAGUUCUGUAGUGCUUUGCUGCUUGAGCUUCUGUACUUACUGCUGGUGCAACAUAUUCCUCUUCAAAAUACACCUCUUGGAUAGAGAUUACCAGUGCCCCAACUACUGAGUGCUUUGUGUCCCCAAACAUCCCAGCUCCUUUCAACAAGGCAAAUCUGUCCCUGCCUGCCUGCUUUAUCAAUGAAGACUACUGUACUUGUGACAUUUAAUAUACAUCAAAUUGAUGCAGAAGAGACACCAAACCUCACAUUUUGUUGCUCCAAGGGAGAAAAAAAAAAAAAAAAAAAAAAGAUGUCAUCUUCAGAACUUUGAUUUUAGAGGUCAAACGCUGAUGUCUUAAAGACUACAUUUCACAGCCAAAAAAAAAAAAAAAAAAGUAAAUGAAUUGGAUCUUUCCCUCUUUCAGGUGUCUAGGUGCCCAUGUUAUCUCUCUGCAUCCACAGGCACAUUCCUCACUCCAUCCUUUUGCCAGCUCUACAGUUUUGGGGCAAACAAAGCAACUCAUGUGAGAGUCUCAUUCAAAAAGCAAGGAACUGAAAAAUAGAAGGGAAUUUCUGUCUUUCUGUACAGAAAUGAUUGCUAUCCCCAAGCACACCUGAAUAUCUCCCAUUUGCAUUUGUGCCACUAUGAUGGCAGCACAGAUCAAGUCUCAAGCUGACGGUGGGUGCUGCACCAGAAGUUCUUUGUUGCAAGGUGACCGGUGCAGUCCUGUGGCCUUGUGGUGAUAGUGACCAAUGCUACAAGUGCCUUGGGGAACCAGUCACAGAAGUUGCCCCAUGGUCACCAGCACCACAGUGCUCAGCUCCAAAUUACACGACUUGUUUUGACAAGACAACAGAAGUGGAAGAACCAGCCCUUAAGGCACAGGAGUGGUGCUAAACUGGGAAGCAUCCCAACGUGGUGUGUUAUGGUGGGGUGUAUUUCAGAUCUCAUGGUGAGACAUAAAUCUGUGUGAAGUGUUGUGCAGAUGCAAGGACAUGUUCCCCGUAUGACCCAGAGCUGAUCAGAGAAGCAGAGUCCCACAGAAGUCAUCAUUACCCUCACAGAUCGCAGACCGUAAUUACUCCCUACGCACAGGUUAAUG